Molecule: ribosomal RNA, 451 nt
Filed under: Streptomyces xantholiticus
Lineage: Bacteria; Bacillati; Actinomycetota; Actinomycetes; Kitasatosporales; Streptomycetaceae
Description: bacterial SSU rRNA
Rfam family: Bacterial small subunit ribosomal RNA
Source: RNAcentral
GCAAGUCGACGAUGAACCUCCUUCGGGAGGGGAUUAGUGGCGAACGGGUGAGUAACACGUGGGCAAUCUGCCCUUCACUCUGGGACAAGCCCUGGAAACGGGGUCUAAUACCGGAUAACACUGCGGAUCGCAUGGUCUGCGGUUGAAAGCUCCGGCGGUGAAGGAUGAGCCCGCGGCCUAUCAGCUUGUUGGUGGGGUGAUGGCCUACCAAGGCGACGACGGGUAGCCGGCCUGAGAGGGCGACCGGCCACACUGGGACUGAGACACGGCCCAGACUCCUACGGGAGGCAGCAGUGGGGAAUAUUGCACAAUGGGCGAAAGCCUGAUGCAGCGACGCCGCGUGAGGGAUGACGGCCUUCGGGUUGUAAACCUCUUUCAGCAGGGAAGAAGCGAAAGUGACGGUACCUGCAGAAGAAGCGCCGGCUAACUACGUGCCAGCAGCCGCGGUAAU